AUGUAUUAGAUAAGUGUAUUGACUGAUUGUUGGUGGACCAUGGUGUAUUACAAUAUUUGCGUGUGUUAGAAUGAAUCAUAAUGAAGUUCGUAUCGGUAAAUUGUUAUGACAUGGUGAAUCAUUUGAGUUGUCUGUUCACUUGUGAUUGUGAUAAUCCAUAAGGGUGGAUUAUGUUGUGAAUGGUUGUAGUUGUGUUAUCAAUUAUGGAUCAUGACAUGAAUAAUGAUAAGUAUGUCAGUUUCAUUUUUUCCAUGCUAUGCAUUCAUAAAUUGUU
Molecule: long non-coding RNA, 274 nt
Filed under: Lathyrus oleraceus (garden pea)
Lineage: Eukaryota; Viridiplantae; Streptophyta; Magnoliopsida; Fabales; Fabaceae
Description: Pisum sativum (pea) long non-coding RNA (PSAT_LNC003982)
Source: RNAcentral